GACGAACGCUGGCGGCGUGCUUAACACAUGCAAGUCGAGCGGUAAGGCCCUUUCGGGGGUACACGAGCGGCGAACGGGUGAGUAACACGUGGGUGACCUGCCCUCAGCUCUGGGAUAAGCCUGGGAAACCGGGUCUAAUACCGGAUAUGACUCCAUGACGCAUGUUGUGGGGUGGAAAGCCUUGUGCGGCUGAGGAUGGGCCCGCGGCCUAUCAGCUUGUUGGUGGGGUGAUGGCCUACCAAGGCGACGACGGGUAGCCGGCCUGAGAGGGCGACCGGCCACACUGGGACUGAGACACGGCCCAGACUCUACGGGAGGCAGCAGUGGGGAAUCUUGCGCAAUGGGCGAAAGCCUGACGCAGCGACGCCGCGUGAGGGAUGACGGCCUGUGU
Molecule: ribosomal RNA, 391 nt
Filed under: uncultured bacterium
Lineage: Bacteria
Description: bacterial SSU rRNA
Rfam family: Bacterial small subunit ribosomal RNA
Source: RNAcentral